This is a long non-coding RNA of Pseudoliparis swirei, 282 nucleotides long. RefSeq lists it as uncharacterized. Lineage: Eukaryota; Metazoa; Chordata; Actinopteri; Perciformes; Liparidae. The record is from RefSeq and is a predicted model, not a curated record. The transcript is spliced from 3 exons.
CUCUUGAGAACGAUGGUGGGAGGAAAAGGACCCACGACGAUCGGGAAUCAGCUGAAGCGAUGGUGAGAGAUGUUCUUCAGUCCAAGCCAGGGGGAGAAAAGGUGUUGCAUGAAUAUGACAAAAUGAAGACAUUGACGGAUGGUACCCGGCGACAUAUGAUAAACCUACUGGUGGCUGAGAUGAUUGAAGUUCAUGGGAGGAUCCCACCAACCUAUGUGCGAACAAAAUACGCUCUUGGCAUUAUAACUCUAUUUCCUUACCUCGGGGAUCCUUACUCAAAAA